RNAcentral lists this ribosomal RNA (565 nucleotides) under uncultured bacterium. RNAcentral's name for it is "bacterial SSU rRNA". It matches the Rfam family "Bacterial small subunit ribosomal RNA", at positions 338 to 916 of the family's 1533-position model. The record is from RNAcentral.
CCUACGGGAGGCAGCAGUGGGGAAUUUUCCGCAAUGGGCGAAAGCCUGACGGAGCAAUACCGCGUGAGGGAGGAAGGCUCUUGGGUUGUAAACCUCUUUUCUCAGGGAAGAACAAAAUGACGGUACCUGAGGAAUAAGCAUCGGCUAAUUCCGUGCCAGCAGCCGCGGUAAUACGGAGGAUGCAAGCGUUAUCCGGAAUUAUUGGGCGUAAAGCGUCCGCAGGUGGCAGUUCAAGUCUGCUGUCAAAGGUCAGGGCUCAACCCUGAACAGGCAGUGGAAACUGAACAGCUAGAGUGCGGUAGGGGCAGAGGGAAUUCCCAGUGUAGCGGUGAAAUGCGUAGAGAUUGGGAAGAACACCGGUGGCGAAAGCGCUCUGCUAGGCCUGCACUGACACUCAGGGACGAAAGCUAGGGGAGCGAAUGAGAUUAGAUACCCCAGUAGUCCUAGCCGUAAACGAUGGAUACUAGGCGUAGCUUGUAUCGACCCAAGCUGUGCCGUAGCUAACGCGUUAAGUAUCCCGCCUGGGGAGUACGCGCGCAAGCGUGAAACUCAAAUGAAUUGACGG